This 940-nucleotide long non-coding RNA is filed under the name Apteryx owenii (little spotted kiwi). Its description in RNAcentral is "lncRNA (ENSAOWG00000014631.1)". Lineage: Eukaryota; Metazoa; Chordata; Aves; Apterygiformes; Apterygidae. The record is from RNAcentral.
CGGGACGUCGCCGCUGCACGGGGCGCUGGAGGCAGCGCUGGCCCGGCUGCAUCGCCAGCCCCGUGCCCUGCUCUUCUCCUCCUGCUUCGCCGCCAACGACACGGCGCUGGCCACGCUCGCCCGCCUGCUGCCAGGCUGCGAGAUCUUCUCGGACGCGGGCAACCACGCGUCCAUGAUCCAGGGCAUCCGGGCCAGCACCUGGCCCAGCUGCUGGCCCGCAGCCCCCCCGGGCUGCCCAAGAUCGUCGCCUUCGAGUCCCUCCACUCCAUGGACGGUGCGUGACCCCCGAAGCCCUCCCGGGAGCCCCCAGACCUCCUGGGGACCCCCAAACCUCCUGGGAGUCCACCAAACCCUCUGGGGACCCUUCAAAACCUCCAGGAGCCCCCCAAAUCUCCUGGGAGUCCACCAAACCCCCUGGAGACCCUUCAAAACCUCCAGGAGCCCCCAAACCUCCUGGGGAGCCCCCAAAUCUCCUGGGAGUCCACCAAACCCCCUGGGGACCCUAGGAGUCCCCCAGACCUCCUGGGGACCCUCAAAGCUUCUGGGAGCCCACCAAACCCUCUGGAGACUCUUCAAAAUCUCCAGGAGCCCCCAAAUCUCCUGGGAGCCCCCCAAACCUCCUGGGGAGCCCCCAAAUCUCCUGGGAGUCCACCAAACCCCCUGGGGACCCUUCAAAACUUCCCAGGGACCCCAGGAGCCCCCAAACCUCCUGGGAGUCCACCAAACCUCCUGGAGACCCUUCAAAACCUCUUGGGGACUUCUAAAAUCCCAAUGACUUCCUGGGCUCCAUAACAUCCCUCUGGUGCCCUCCAGCCCCAUAGCCCCCCCAUAUCACCCCGUAUCUUCCUCAUAUUGCUCUAUAUCCCUUCCAUUUCCCUUGCGUUGCCCCUAUUGCCCCAUAUCUUUCCCUUAUCUCCCUAUAUCACCCUAUAGCCCCCCU